AUAUUGUACAAUGGUAAUGUACAACAUACUUAAUAAUGCACAUUUGAACUUGUAUUGUACAAAGCAGCAGCAGCAGAAGAAGUGCACCAAUGUCUUGGUUUUUAUUCAAUACAUACACAGUCAUUAUGACUGUAUGCAAGGGACAAAUAAAGACAAGAUACAGCCUAAAGCUUUUAUAUGGUUAUGUUAUAGACAUGCUGUUUAUUGUAUUGAAAAGCAGGGUCUGUAUUCAGAAAGCAUUCGAGGAGUAGGAGUGCUGAUCUAGGAGCAGUUGAACUUUUAUAUUAUAAUGAAUAAGAUUUCAUAUACAGAGGGGGCCUGCUACUAGAGUAUCACUGGCAGUAGGAUCAGCUGAUCUUGGAUCAGGUCCCCCCUUGUCCACAUCAUCUUAUUCAUUAGGAUCUAAAAAGGGCUAGACUGAUCCUAGUUCAGCACUCCCAACUCUGAGACGCUUUAUGAAUACAGACCCAGGAGAAACAGGCAUUACUUCAACACCACUAAGUGUUUGUUCAUUUAUGUGUUUUAAAAACAGAGUGAACUUUACCAGCUGAAAGGCUUUCUGUUUCUACGGUACCAUAGAAAAAGGAUGAUUGGAAUGAAGCAUCCUUCUAAUUCCAGGAUCUCACCCUACUAAAACCACAGACUAAGUUGUCAAAUACCAGUCAGCUGUUUUUGCGCAAUUUAAUUUUCUUUUUGAUGUGACUUAUUUUUCUUAAUAUCAUUUUGAAAUAGUGUCGUCAUUUUAUCACACAGCUAUAGCUUUAGAUCGCGUAACCAACCUUGAAAAGCAUAGAUGCAGUAUAUUAUUAUUAUGACGUAAGAGUGGAUUGUGAAAAUAACACUAACUGCCUGAGGUAAAAUGGUGGAAAAGAGUUCAUCCUACAAUUUAGGGGCCUUAUGUGUAGUUUGUUAUAAAUUAUUUAUGUACAGUAUUUCAUAUUUAUUUGAAGCUUUACAAUAUUCUAGAUGGCAAUAAUACAACCAAGAGUUAAAAACUCAAAGCCUUACGUGUUUCUUUUACACAGGAAUAGCCUAUAUGCUGUAUUCAGUUUAGCCAUUAACCUGACUGUUUUCCAGUUUGAUUUAAAACGUGUUCUUUUUGGAUCCCUUGACGUUGUAUACUACUGUGUUUUUCCCUUCUGCUAGCUAUUUCUUCUGUAGUGUUUGUUACAGUAGAUCAUGUCGACAUGUCCUGAAGAGGUCAUCGACUGCCUCCUUCCAGAAAGUUUAAGUUGCGUAUCUCCACAGUCUCUGGGGACCAUGCUUGG
This 1268-nucleotide long non-coding RNA is filed under the name Salmo salar (Atlantic salmon). Its description in RNAcentral is "lncRNA (ENSSSAG00000114400.1)". The record is from RNAcentral. Lineage: Eukaryota; Metazoa; Chordata; Actinopteri; Salmoniformes; Salmonidae.